GGUAGGGUGGCCGAAAUAGGCGGCGGAUUGUAGCUCCGUAGAUAGGGGUUCAAACCCUCUUCCUAUC
This 67-nucleotide transfer RNA is filed under the name Triplophysa nanpanjiangensis. Its description in RNAcentral is "tRNA-Tyr". It matches the Rfam family "tRNA". From Rfam's summary of the family: Transfer RNA (tRNA) molecules are approximately 80 nucleotides in length. Their secondary structure includes four short double-helical elements and three loops (D, anti-codon, and T loops). Further hydrogen bonds mediate the characteristic L-shaped molecular structure. tRNAs have two regions of fundamental functional importance: the anti-codon, which is responsible for specific mRNA codon recognition, and the 3' end, to which the tRNAs corresponding amino acid is attached (by aminoacyl-tRNA synthetases). tRNAs cope with the degeneracy of the genetic code in two manners: having more than one tRNA (with a specific anti-codon) for a particular amino acid; and 'wobble' base-pairing, i.e. permitting non-standard base-pairing at the 3rd anti-codon position. The record is from RNAcentral. Lineage: Eukaryota; Metazoa; Chordata; Actinopteri; Cypriniformes; Nemacheilidae.